GAAGUAUCUUGGUAUGUAAACCUCUUUUCUCAAGAAAGAAGUUCUGACGGUACUUGAGGAAUAAGCAUCGGCUAACUCCGUGCCAGCAGCCGCGGUAAUACGGAGGGUGCAAGCGUUAAUCGGAAUUACUGGGCGUAAAGCGCGCGUAGGCGGUUUGGUCAGUCGGAUGUGAAAGCCCUGGGCUCAACCUGGGAACUGCAUUCGAUACUGCCAAGCUAGAAUAUGGGAGAGGGAAGUGGAAUUUCCGGUGUAGCGGUGAAAUGCGUAGAUAUCGGAAGGAACACCAGUGGCGAAGGCGACUUCCUGGGCCAAUACUGACGCUGAGGUGCGAAAGCGUGGGGAGCAAAC
This 348-nucleotide ribosomal RNA is filed under the name Isochrysis galbana. Its description in RNAcentral is "partial Bacterial small subunit ribosomal RNA". It matches the Rfam family "Bacterial small subunit ribosomal RNA", at positions 410 to 773 of the family's 1533-position model. Lineage: Eukaryota; Haptophyta; Isochrysidales; Isochrysidaceae. The record is from RNAcentral.